This 292-nucleotide ribosomal RNA is filed under the name uncultured microorganism. Its description in RNAcentral is "partial 16S ribosomal RNA". It matches the Rfam family "Bacterial small subunit ribosomal RNA", at positions 505 to 796 of the family's 1533-position model. The record is from RNAcentral.
GUGCCAGCAGCCGCGGUAAUACGUAGGUGGCAAGCGUUGUCCGGAAUUAUUGGGCGUAAAGCGCGCGCAGGCGGUCUCUUAAGUCUGAUGUGAAAGCCCACGGCUCAACCGUGGAGGGUCAUUGGAAACUGGGGGACUUGAGUACAGAAGAGGAGAGUGGAAUUCCACGUGUAGCGGUGAAAUGCGUAGAGAUGUGGAGGAACACCAGUGGCGAAGGCGGCUCUCUGGUCUGUAACUGACGCUGAGGCGCGAAAGCGUGGGGAGCAAACAGGAUUAGAUACCCUGGUAGCCC